RNAcentral lists this long non-coding RNA (2599 nucleotides) under Nannospalax galili (Upper Galilee mountains blind mole rat). Its description in RNAcentral is "lncRNA (ENSNGAG00000024428.1)". Lineage: Eukaryota; Metazoa; Chordata; Mammalia; Rodentia; Spalacidae. The record is from RNAcentral.
AUGACGUGUCACGGUGGGUUCGUGACCACGCACCCUGCACCACAGUUCCCACAAAUAGCAUGGUGCUGUGUGAUUUGUACUACGUGGACAAACACCACCCUGAAAUGUUCUACGUCGAAGCCAGGUACUCGUCCUGCACAAGGCUCAGUUGUCUCUGCACAAGCCCCCUCCGCCCCCCCUUUCUUGGGUGAAUCGUUCAGUUUUCAGGAAUUGAGGUGCUCAGUCACACUCAUCAACGUUGAAAACAGUUAUGACCGUGCACCCAGUACCCAGAUCCUGAAUUCCACCAAAAUUCGGAUGAUGAUGGUGAUGAUGAUGAUGGUGGUGAUGAUGAUGAGGGUGAUGAUGAUGUCAUGAUGAAUGAUCACGGAUGAGGAUGAUGAUGGUCAUGACGAUGACGAUGAUGAAUGGUGAUAAUCACAAUGAUGACGAUAAUGAUGGUGAUGAUGUCAUGAUGACAAUGAUGCUGGUGAUGACGUCACGAUGAAUGAUCAAGGAUGCGGAUGACGAUGAUGGUGGUGUUGAGGAUGAUGACCAAAAUGAUGACGAUGAUGGCGACGAUGCUGAUGCCCCUGAGCUCCCAGAAAAAGCAGCCGUGUUAACACCUGGAAAUUCAGCACACGUGUUGGAAGACACAAGCGGCGAGGCCUCAGCCGUGCGUGCGACCGUAAAACAACACCCACACUCCGCACCGCCUCUCCCGAGCUCUCCACCCGUGACGAUUGACGUGCGUGUGAUUCAUCAUCACGUCGGUCUUUCAUUGACUGAAUCCGUGACGUUUCUAUGAAAACGUUUCUCCACGAUACUGUUCAGGGCAGCAUAAUGUUUUAUCCAAACGUGUCCUGAUGUCACAUCACGUCUUUGGACGAGCACUCAGUGCUUGGAAACGUCUCUCCAUCAGCCACGAUGCUCCGCAGAUAGGCGCCAGUUUUAGGUCCUAUGACUCCCAAUGCAAGACAAGGGACAUUGUGUUAGGCAGGGGAGGCAUGGGGUGCUGAGCUAAGUACCAUAAAAUAGUUACAAAAAUACCAGAAAUGUAAUAAAAGAUGAGGAGUUAAACGAAGCUGGGAUUUGGAAAUAAAAUUGUCGCAUAAAACACGCAAGACACAGAUCGAGGGUUGUCUGUCUCAGUAAAGUGCUUGUAAUUCAGUGGGUGGAGUGCUUGUAGCUCUGUGGGUGGAGUGCUUGUAGCUUAGUGGUUAAAGUGCUUGUAGCUCAGUGGGCACAGUGCUUGCAGCUCAGUAGUUACAGGGCUUGUAGUUCAGUAGGAAGAGUACUUGUAGCUCAGGCUUGUAGCUCAGUGGGUAGGGAGCCUGUAGUUCCAUGGGUACAGUGCUUGUAGCUCAGUAGUUACAGGGCUUGUAGUUCAGUAGGAAGAGUACUUGUAGCUCAGGAUUGUAGCUCAGUGGGUAGGGAGCCUGUAGUUCCAUGGGUACAGUGCUUAUAGCUCAGUAGUUACAGGGCUUGUAGUUCAGGAGCUAGAGUGCUUGUAGCUCAGUGGGCAGAGCGCUUGUGACUCAGUGGGUAGAGUGCUUGAAGUUCACUAGGUGGAGUGCUUGUAGCUUAGUGGGGAGAGUACUUGUAACCCUAGUACCUAGUAAUGGAACCUAGUCCUGUAAACCUAGUACCUCGUACUGCAACCUAGUGCCACAAGCAGUACUAGUACUGCAACCUAGUAGUGUAAACCUAGUAGCUAGUACUGUAACCUAGUACUGUAAAUCUAGUACCUAGUACUGUAACCCUAGUACCGAGUAUUGUAACCUAGUACUACACACCUAGUCCCUCCUACUGCAAGCUAGUACCUAGUACUGUAAACCUAAUAUCUAGUGUGGUAACCUAGUACUGCAAACCUAGUCCCUAGUACUGAAGAACUGCCACAUUCAUGGGUACUGGGGAGCUCCGAGAAGGAAAAAACCCAUGUGCAUGUGGGCCUGUUGGCAAAGCCUCAAGGAAAUGCCUGCUGAAGGUGCUAGGUGCACAGUCCACCUAGGAAUCGCUUGACUCUGUAGAUGACUUUUGAAUGCACACUUAGCUCAUGAGAUAGGAAACACAUGCGGAAAGUGCUGAACUCGGUUCAUCGGGCAUUUUCCGACUCAGACCAGAGAAAAUUGUAGGUUCCACGAUGCGCUCAGUUGCCCCGGCGACUGGGUAAUUACCACGGGAUGGAUCUGGACGUUAAUUUAUGCACGCCUAGUACUGUAGGAACGCGAAAUUAAAGCCUGGGACCGAGGAUCCAGCACCCCGUAAUUUCAGCCGUCAUUGUCCGCCCCACGGCUGGAAACCAGCUGGAACCAGUUUAGAGACCUCAGAUGACACACAAUGUGCAAAGUGAAACAGACUCGAGUUUCCCGAUUCAGACGUGUGUGCACACGGCCCACCCCGUGCUCCCAUGAUGCUCUGCUCCUCCAAAGGUGAGAGACACAGAGAGAGAGAGAGAGAGAGAGAGAGAGAGACAUCCACCAUCCAUGACCAUCCAUCAUCCAUCCAUCAUCCACCACCCCAGCUGGGGCUGCUACAGGGAGACCCUGCUCAGAAACACCAAAUCCAUAAUAAGUGAAUAAAUAGCAAAUAAACAAAAUAAAAAUAAUCUAAAACUUAA